GACAGAGGGUGCAAACGUUGUUCGGAAUUACUGGGCGUAAAGCGCGUGUAGGCGGCCGCGCAAGUCGAGUGUGAAAGCCCCGAGCUUAACUUGGGAAUUGCGCUCGAAACUACGUGGCUGGAGUGUGGCAGAGGAAGGUGGAAUUCCACGUGUAGCGGUGAAAUGCGUAGAGAUGUGGAGGAACACCAAUGGCGAAGGCAGCCUUCUGGGCCAACACUGACGCUCAUGCACGAAAGCGUGGGGAGCAAACAGG
RNAcentral lists this ribosomal RNA (253 nucleotides) under uncultured bacterium. RNAcentral's name for it is "partial 16S ribosomal RNA". It matches the Rfam family "Bacterial small subunit ribosomal RNA", at positions 524 to 776 of the family's 1533-position model. The record is from RNAcentral.